Molecule: long non-coding RNA, 804 nt
Organism: Oenanthe melanoleuca
Lineage: Eukaryota; Metazoa; Chordata; Aves; Passeriformes; Muscicapidae
Exons: 4
Source: RefSeq, a predicted model, not a curated record
CACUAAUCCUUCAGAGCAAAUCUUCUCAUUGCUAUACUUUGACUAACUUGUUGCUGUGAACAGGACCUGGAGAUGCAGUACAACAGACUGUUUCACUCAUAAGUCUAAAGCAACUUGGAGAGGUGCUGAAACAGCCCACUGAGGGUAGAAAGGGGAGUGAAUGUGCAUCCUGUGGUUGGAAAAGGAUGGUACUGAAGGUGCAGGCAAGCUCCAAGUUCUUCACUGUUCAAUACACAUUGGCUGGUUUUACAUGGCUCUGUCCUCACACAACAGCAACGGAAUGGAAGAACAUUUAUCUCAUCUCACACAGAAGGUCUGUGAAGGAAUGCAAAUUCUGGACACUACUGAUAGUCUUCUUUGAAAGCAAGAACAAGUAUGGCUUGGAUAGGAAGAGACUGGACCUGGAAUUCCCCAGAAGAACAACAAAAGCCUCUAGCAAGACAAAAUGCAAGGUCCGUUCUCUUUCUAUGGCAAGGGAUUUCUUGGUAGCACAGCUUGCCGGAGUUAUUUCGCCAAAACCACAAUUGCCCAUCUGAGUGCCUUAGUGCUUGGAGGUUUUCAAGAGAGAGAGAGAGAGAGCUAUCCUGUGUUUUAAUUGAAGUUCCUGCUUUCAGGCAGCUUGUGUUUGGGGAGCCACCAUUGGAUAGAAUAAUGGAGCUUCCUAUGUCUAGGAAAGUACCUCUGCAAUUAGAGGGACCAGAGGUAAAAAUGGAAUUCUCAGUGUUUUAAGUGGACACCUGAGCCAACUGCAGUGUGCCUCAGGAGGCCAACAUAUCACCUCUGCAUGCAGAGAAGGGCUUGGCU